AUGGGGAGAUCGCCGUGCUGCGAGAAGGCGCACACCAACAAGGGCGCGUGGACGAGGGAGGAGGACGAGCGGCUGGUGGCCCACGUCCGGGCGCACGGGGAGGGCUGCUGGCGCUCGCUGCCCAGCGCCGCCGGCCUGCUGCGCUGCGGCAAGAGCUGCCGCCUCAGGUGGAUCAACUACCUCCGCCCCGACCUCAAGCGCGGCAACUUCAGCCGCGACGAGGACGAGCUCAUCGUCAAGCUCCAUAGCCUCCUCGGCAACAAGUGGUCGCUCAUCGCCGCGCGCCUGCCCGGGAGGACGGACAACGAGAUCAAGAACUACUGGAACACGCACAUCCGGAGGAAGCUGCUGGGCAGGGGGAUCGACCCGGUCACGCACCGCCCCCUCACCGACGCCGCCACCGUCUCCUUCGUCCAUCCUGCAGAGGCGACCAAGCAACAGGCGACGGAGGAGAGGAAGCCGCCCAGAUGCCCGGACCUCAACCUGGACCUCUGCAUCAGCCUGCCGUUCCAACAGGAGGAGGAACGGCCGCCGGCGAGAGCGUGCGCCAAGCCGGUGAAGAUGGAGCAGCUGCAGCAGGGCGGCAUCUGCUUCCGCUGCAGCAUCCUCAGAGUGAGAGGAGCGGCGACGGAGUGCAGCUGCGGCAGCAACUUCCUGGGCCUCAGGGCCGGCAUGCUCGACUUCAGAGGCCUCGAGAUGAAAUAG
Molecule: ribosomal RNA, 705 nt
Filed under: Triticum aestivum (bread wheat)
Lineage: Eukaryota; Viridiplantae; Streptophyta; Magnoliopsida; Poales; Poaceae
Description: partial small subunit ribosomal RNA
Source: RNAcentral